RNAcentral lists this ribosomal RNA (474 nucleotides) under uncultured bacterium. RNAcentral's name for it is "bacterial SSU rRNA". It matches the Rfam family "Bacterial small subunit ribosomal RNA", at positions 36 to 507 of the family's 1533-position model. The record is from RNAcentral.
CUAGCGGCAGGCUUAAUACAUGCAAGUCGAGGGGCAGCACGGUUAGCAAUAACUGGUGGCGACCGGCGCACGGGUGCGUAACACGUAUACAAUCUACCUUAAACAGGGGGAUAGCCUUUCGAAAGAGAGAUUAAUACCCGUAAUAAAUUGAACGGCAUCGUUUGAUUUUGAAAGCUCCGGCGGUUUGAGAUGAGUAUGCGUCUGAUUAGCUAGUUGGUGAGGUAACGGCUCACCAAGGCGACGAUCAGUAGGGGACCUGAGAGGACUAACCCCCACACUGGUACUGAGACACGGACCAGACUCCUACGGGAGGCAGCAGUAAGGAAUAUUGGUCAAUGGAGGCAACUCUGAACCAGCCAUGCCGCGUGCAGGAUGACGGCCCUAUGGGUUGUAAACUGCUUUUAUACAAGAGAAAACCCUGGUACGUGUACCAAGUUGAUAGUAUUGUAAGAAUAAGCAUCGGCUAACUUCGUG